Molecule: ribosomal RNA, 429 nt
Filed under: Acidobacteriota bacterium
Lineage: Bacteria; Pseudomonadati; Acidobacteriota
Description: Acidobacteria bacterium partial 16S ribosomal RNA
Rfam family: Bacterial small subunit ribosomal RNA
Source: RNAcentral
UGGGGAAUUUUGGACAAUGGGGGAAACCCUGAUCCAGCCACCCCGCGUGUGCGAUGAAGGCCUUCGGGUUGUAAAGCACUUUUGGCAGGAAAGAAACGUCAUGGGUUAAUACCCCGUGAAACUGACGGUACCUGCAGAAUAAGCACCGGCUAACUACGUGCCAGCAGCCGCGGUAAUGCGUAGGGUGCAAGCGUUAAUCGGAAUUACUGGGCGUAAAGCGUGCGCAGGCGGUUCGGAAAGAAAGAUGUGAAAUCCCAGAGCUCAACUUUGGAACUGCAUUUUUAACUCCCGGGCUAGAGUGUGUCAGAGGGAGGUGGAAUUCCGCGUGUAGCAGUGAAAUGCGUAGAUAUGCGGAGGAACACCGAUGGCGAAGGCAGCCUCCUGGGAUAACACUGACGCUCAUGCACGAAAGCGUGGGGAGCAAACAGG